UGGAUCCAGACUUUGAUUAUGGCUCAGGAUGAACGCUAGCUACAGGCUUAACACAUGCAAGUCGAGGGGCAGCAUGAACUUAGCUUGCUAAGUUUGAUGGCGACCGGCGCACGGGUGAGUAACGCGUAUCCAACCUUCCGCUGACCAGGGCACAGCCCGUUGAAAGACGGAUUAAUGCCCUAUGCGCUCCUGUCGGUGCAUAUUUUCAGGAGCAAAGAUUCAUCGGUGAGCGAUGGGGAUGCGUCCGAUUAGCUUGUUGGCGGGGCAACGGCCCACCAAGGCAUCGAUCGGUAGGGGUUCUGAGAGGAAGGUCCCCCACACUGGAACUGAGACACGGUCCAGACUCCUACGGGAGGCAGCAGUGAGGAAUAUUGGUCAAUGGAGGCAACUCUGAACCAGCCAAGUAGCGUGCAGGACGACGGCCCUAUGGGUUGUAAACUGCUUUUAUGCGGGGAUAAACUGCACUACGUGUAGUGCAUUGCAGGUACCGCAUGAAUAAGGACCGGCUAAUUCCGUGCCAGCAGCCGCGGUAAUACGGAAGGUCCGGGCGUUAUCCGGAUUUAUUGGGUUUAAAGGGAGCGUAGGCCGGAGCUUAAGCGUGCCGUGAAAUUUUGUGGCUCAACCAUGAGAGUGCGGCGCGAACUGGGUUCCUUGAGUGCGCUGAAGGCAGGCGGAAUUCGUGGUGUAGCGGUGAAAUGCUUAGAUAUCACGAAGAACCCCGAUUGCGAAGGCAGCCUGCCGUAGCGUUACUGACGCUGAAGCUCGAAAGCGCGGGUAUCGAACAGGAUUAGAUACCCUGGUAGUCCGCGCGGUAAACGAUGGAUGCCCGCUGUUGGCGAUAUAUUGUCAGCGGCCAAGCGAAAGCGUUAAGCAUCCCACCUGGGGAGUACGCCGGCAACGGUGCAACUCAAAGGA
This 915-nucleotide ribosomal RNA is filed under the name uncultured Bacteroidota bacterium. RNAcentral describes it as "bacterial SSU rRNA". It matches the Rfam family "Bacterial small subunit ribosomal RNA", at positions 1 to 908 of the family's 1533-position model. Lineage: Bacteria; Pseudomonadati; Bacteroidota. The record is from RNAcentral.